RNAcentral lists this transfer RNA (84 nucleotides) under Spirochaetota bacterium. RNAcentral describes it as "Spirochaetes bacterium tRNA-Leu". It matches the Rfam family "tRNA". From Rfam's summary of the family: Transfer RNA (tRNA) molecules are approximately 80 nucleotides in length. The record is from RNAcentral. Lineage: Bacteria; Pseudomonadati; Spirochaetota.
GCCCAAGUGGUGGAAUUGGUAGACACAAGGGACUUAAAAUCCCUUGGACGCAAGUCCGUGCCGGUUCAAGUCCGGCCUUGGGCA